AUUCACAGGUUGGGAGGAAUAAGGUCAUGGACAUCUUUGGAGGUCAUCGUUUGGCCCACCACAGGGACGGCACAGAAUGACACCAGGCAGUGGUGGUGACAGAGGACACAGCGGGCAAUUGUCGCAUGCGGUGGCCGGUGUCUUGGAGGACGGUGUCUCACUAUGGAGAGGACGGUGGAGAGUGGAUUGCAUCCAGUCCCAGGGCCCAGUCUGAGCACCACCAUUUCAUGAAAGGGCCACAUGUGCAAAGGGACCCCCAAACGCAGCAGGAACUGAGAAACCAAAGAACGUAUCCAAAGAACAGACAGACAAAUCCAGUUUGUCGGGAGAGGGUGACUUAUCGGGGGACUUAGGGACAGAAGUAUGGUCUUCUGUGGCCAUAAGACAGGUAGAUCUCACUGCUGCCACCAUCCCAGACCCAGGGCUUAUAUACUGCAGGGAGUCAACCUUCCAGGAAAAGACAAGAAUGCUGUGUGCAUCAUAGCCUGUCAUUUGCAUGAUAAAAUCAAGGGUGUUUUGCCCUAAAGGCCGGCUUUACCGUAAAUUCAUGCUGUUACACAUCUCUGUAAGUGGAAAUCUUAGAGGCAUUCCCAGAACUGGGGUGGCAUCUAAAGUGGAGUCACUGUGGCCUCCACAACCACAUCACCUUGGAUUCUUUUUGAAGUGGCAGAUAGAGGAUUACAAAUACGGUAGAAUUAAUUAUAAGUCAUCCCGUUGGUACUACAGAACUUGGACCUUCUUUUGAGUUUAGUUUGAUUUCUCAAAAUAAACCAGAUCAAAAAGACAAACAACUGGAUUUGUCCCUUACAAGCAAGAUCUUGCUAAGGGAGAAAGACUUCUACUUUACCUUAUAAUCUUAAAAUUCUUUAUUUCAAAAUUGUGUACA
Microcebus murinus (gray mouse lemur) is the source of this 886-nucleotide non-coding RNA. The record is from RefSeq and is a predicted model, not a curated record. Lineage: Eukaryota; Metazoa; Chordata; Mammalia; Primates; Cheirogaleidae.